RNAcentral lists this small RNA (179 nucleotides) under Chelonoidis abingdonii (Abingdon island giant tortoise). Its description in RNAcentral is "TUC338 (ENSCABG00000020066.1)". Lineage: Eukaryota; Metazoa; Chordata; Testudines; Testudinidae. The record is from RNAcentral.
UUGCUGGUCGUAGAGUAUGAAGUCCUGUUUAUUGGCAGACCAGGGGUACAGCAUGGGCAGCAGCAGUGCAAGAUUCCUCCGAGCUAUCCUGCCAUUGUAACUCAGUGCUGACCUGGAAUUCCCUCAUUAGGAUCAGAGGAGAGUUCAGUCUACAUGAUGCAACGUGGUCCUUUGCCUCU